CCGUCUCUCUACGACCAACAACAACAAUCCCUUUCUUGGUUUAUUUUCAUUGCUUCUCUCUCCACCUCUGUGAACACGCCCCUCGUCUCUCUCUCUCUCACACACACACUCUCUCUCCUUCUUCUCUCUUUCCUGGCCUUUUUUCGUCUUUUUUCAGCUAUUGUCGCUCCCUCUCCUAAUCAGACGACCGAUAAUCCUCCACGUCCACGUCGUCUUCUUCAUCCUUCCUUCUUCCCUGUUAUAUAACCGCUUCGUUCGCUUCUCCUUUCCCGUUUCUUCUGUUUCUAGGGUUUCUGGAAAUGCGAGAAAAGAAGAGAGAAACCGCAGACUUCAUGGUGCCUGCGCAUUCUAAUCAGUCAAUUCUCGUCUUCCGAUUGAGGAUCUGAACUUCGCAGACAUCGACGGAGAAACUGUUCGUUGGACGAAUUAGGGUAUCAUCGUUUUUUGUUCACAUAGAAGUUGAGAAUUUGCGGUUUGGUUCGAGAGAGAAGAACCGGGAUUUUGUUGCAUCCAUUACACUCUCUUUCUGUAGCUUGAUGGCAAUUGUAAAGAAUAACUUUAGGGUUUCGAAGUUAGAUGGUGAGCUUUCUCCGGGGUGUAGAGACAGUCUGUCGACUGAUGAGGAUGAACUUCCAAGGCGAAGUACUGCCUCGGAAUCUAAUGAUGACAAUGACGAAGAUGACGACGACGCUGACUCUGGAGCAGGUUCUGAUGACUUUGAUAUGUUGGAAUUGGGAGAAAUUGGAGCCGAAUUUUGUCAAGUUGGGAAUCAGAACUGCUGUUUACCGUUUGAACUCUAUGAUCUUCCGGACCUGGGGGAAGUUCUGACAUUGGAUACUUGGAAUAAUUGCCUAACUGAAGAGGAGCGUUUUAGCCUUGCGGAGUACCUACCAGACAUGGACCAGGAGACUUUCAUGCGUACCCUAAAAGAGCUCUUCUCUGGAAGCAAUUUUCAUUUUGGAAGCCCUGUUGCCAAACUCUUCAAUCUGUUGAAGGGAGGACUAUGCGAACCAAGAGUUGCCCUUUAUCGGCAGGGUUUGAAUUUAUUCCAGAAGCGCCAACACUACCACCUUCUACGUAAAUAUCAGAAUUCCAUGGUCAGCAGUCUUAUGCAGAUAAAGGAUGCUUGGGAGAACUGUGUGGGAUACAGUAUUGAAGAGAGGCUUCGUAUUCUGAAUAUAAUGAGAAGUCAGAGGAGUCUGAUGUAUGAGAAGAUGGAAGACCUGGGGUUGGAGAGUGGCUUCUCAGAACAGGAGGAAUCUGGUGAAGGUUUCUGGGGAAAAAGACCAAAAGACAUUAAAUUGGGGACAAAAGCAGGUCGUCGUGCAGUGUAUUCAGUGAGUCCAGUUCUGGAUGUUUCUUCUCGAAGAAAGUCUACUGCUGCGGAACCAAUGAAAUAUGGAAAGCAGAACCCAAGAGGGACAUUGAAGUUUUCUGGAUCAAAAGCCUCUUCUGCAAAAGAGUUCAUGGGUCACUUUCCUUCUGCCCAGCAUGGCUUGAAAAUGAAGUCUAAAUCAUAUCUUCCAACAGUAGCUCAUCCUUGGCAAGAUCAGGUGGUAGGGUAUGGGUAUGGAGCUGCUCAUCGAUCAAGGGGUCAGGUAAGAGGUGUGGAAGAGUUGGAUGAAUCAGCAUAUGAGAUGAAUCUCCAGAGAGAUCGACAUGCUCCACGUGGGAGUGCAGUAGCCAAAGUUGGCUCAUUCAAACCAGGGAAGAAAUCCGAAUUCCUCAGAGGCAAAGAUGACUUUCCCAUUGAUGAUUUUAUGGGUUUGCCUUUGUCUGUAAAGAAUGACUCUCCUUCUCAUGGUAGGACCAGGUAUGUCAAUCAGAGGGCAGAUAUAGAAUCUUUAACUGAAAAAGUGAAUAAUGAACGAGCUUCCUAUAAUUAUCAUUCCUUGGUGGCUGGGAAAAAGGCCAAGUAUCUGGGGAAGUUUCAGAAACCUGCGGUUGAAGAUCAGAUGAAAACUGUUAAUGAUAGAGCACAACAUACGUUAUUGAAGGGAAAUCACAUUGACUGGUCUUCUGGAAAUGGGUCGUCACGACAUAACAAAGCACAAGAAGAAGCCUUUUCUGUGGAUCUUCCAGUGAAUUUUGAUGAUUGGGGAGUUAGAAGCAAGAAAUGGAAGCUGGGGAAGGAGUAUCAAACUGGUAAGAACAGUUUGGGUUCUGAUUUCAAAGUUAGAUCUCAUAGAGCUUUUCCAACAGAAAUGGAAGAUAAAUUUGCUUAUGGGAAAACAGUGCAAGAGAAAAUCAAGUGGAAGUCUCCACAAAAUGGAGGAGUAAAAAGGGAGGAGCUGAGAGGCAUCAAUAUGUUUUCCCAGAGUGAGGAGACAGAGUCAGAUUCAUCAGAACAAGCCAAUGAAGAAGAUGAUAUUAAUCUUUUGGGGAGUAAGCUUGACUACCCUGGCAAUGUAUUGGAAGGUCGUAGGUCUGCUUCUGUCAAAUCUCUGGCAGAUCCUAAAAAAGCCAACAAACUUGUGAGGAAGGAUAAAAAGGAAUAUGCUCAGGGUCUUGAUGCAAUGACAUAUCCAUCCAAGAAGGGUAGUGAUCUUGGUGAACAGAUGCAUACAACAGAAAUAGAGAUGUACUUGUCCAAAGGAAAAUAUAAAGAUCAAAUACACGAUCCAAUGUACUUUGCUGCUGGAAUCCUGGCCAGCAAUUUCUCUACUUCAGCUAAAUGGGUUGAUGAUGAUAGGAAACAAACUCACAAGUUGGGAAAGAAUGGUCAUUUGCAGAGUGAACCUGGUGAAAGGUCACAUCUACCAUUGUCAAAGGCCUAUCCUGCAGAGAGGAAGCAGAAAGGAAAUUAUGAUCAUGAUCAUUUUGUGUCUCAGUCAAAUUACAUGCAUGAUUAUAUUAGUGGAGAUGAUGAUGAUGAUGAUUUACAUGGAUCACAUAGGUUGGUGGAUGAUCAUGAGCAUACUACUAAAUCGGGGAAGAAAGGGCAAAACACUGAAACUAUUGUAAGCAAUCAUCAUGAAAGGUCAGAUAUGUUGUUGCUAGGGUGCAGCUCAGUGACAAAGAAGCGGAAAGGGAAGGCAGAUCUGACAUACAUGGAUGAACCAGAUGAAUCUGGUUACAUGAACUCCAGUCCUAAGCAGCAGAUUGAUGGCACAGCACCCCUGAAGAAACGGGGUAAAAGGAAAGUGGAGGCUGAAACUGGUUCUUCAGCUAUGAUAACUUCUCAACCACUUGUUUCAGAAAGGGGAGCUACAGAUGUAGAACCAGAAACAAAACCAGCAAAGAAGCCAUUCACUUUGAUAACGCCUACUGUUCAUACUGGCUUCUCAUUUUCCAUUAUACAUCUUCUUUCAGCUGUUCGUGCAGCAAUGAUUACUCCAUAUGCAGAAGACACCUCAGAGUUUGGGCAGCACCUUGAGAAGAAAGAUGGGAGACAAAAUCUUUAUAAAGAAGAGCAAGCUAGAAAACAAGAAGGGAUCAAUAGGGAACCUUCUUUUCCAUCUCAUGAGAGUUUGGAUGUCAACGAUUCAGAUCUCCCAAGACAGAAGACUUUGCCUUCUCUCACUGUUCAAGAGAUAGUCAACCGCGUUAGAUCAAACCCUGGAGAUCCUUGUAUUCUCGAAACACAAGAGCCACUCCAGGAGUUGGUCAGAGGAGUACUGAAACUAUUUUCAUCCAAAACAGCACCUUUAGGAGCAAAAGGUUGGAAAUCGCUUGUAUUUUAUGAAAGAUCCACAAAAAGCUGGUCUUGGAUUGGACCAGUUUCUUCCAACUCUUCAGAUCAUGAGAUUGUUGAAGAGGAAACAUCUUCUGAGGCUUGGGGUCUUCCUCACAGGAUGCUUGUGAAGCUGGUUGAUGCAUUUGCUAAUUGGCUGAAAAGUGGUCAAGAGACCCUCCAGCAGUUAGGAAGCCUUCCUGCACCACCUGUGACACUGAUGCAACCCAUCCAGGAUGCGAAGGAAAGGUUCAGGGACUUAAGAGCUCAGAAGAGUCUUACCACUAUCAGCCCGAGCUCUGAAGAAGUAAGGGCCUAUUUUCGUAAGGAGGAACAAUUAAGAUAUUCUGUUCCAGACAGGGCUUUUUCUUACACAGCUGCUGAUGGUAAAAAAUCCAUUGUUGCUCCUCUGAGAAGGUGUGGUGGCAAACCAACAUCAAAAGCCAGAGACCAUUUUAUGCUUAAACCUGAUAGGCCACCUCAUGUUACAAUUCUGUGUCUUGUGAGGGAUGCAGCUGCUAGAUUGCCUGGAAGUAUGGGUACUAGAGCCGAUGUUUGCACCUUGAUAAGAGAUUCACAGUAUAUUGUAGAAGAUGUCUCCGAUGCACAAAUUAACCAAGUAGUCAGUGGAGCGCUGGAUCGUCUGCAUUAUGAGCGUGAUCCUUGUGUGCAAUUUGAUGGAGAUAGGAAAAUAUGGGUUUAUUUACACAGGGAGAGAGAAGAAGAAGAUUUUGAAGAUGAUGGCACCUCAUCUACAAAAAAAUGGAAAAGACAAAGGAAGGAUGCUACGGAGCAGUCAUACCCUGGAACAGUAAAUGCAGCUUAUAAUGGGGCUGGAGAUCAAAUUGGAAGUAGUACAGCUGGUGGACGUGAUUUGAUCUCUGAUCUUAAUGUUGAAUCUUCAUCUAUGCAUGAAAGAAAAAGAAAGGAGCUUGUUUAUGAUGAUUCAAGGCCAAAUUUGGAGGAGGAUGUUGAGCCCUUCGAUGGCUCAGCCCAAGAUGAUGCGCAUGAAGCUCGUCCAAUGGAUUGGGAGGCUAUUGAUUUGAAUCCCGUGCGGGAUGACAAAAUGCUGUGUCAAGAGAAUUCCACAAAUGAAGAUUUUGAUGAUGAAGUGUUUAGCAGAGAAAGAGAGAGACCAGUUGGGAUUUUAGCUGCAAGCUUACUGUGAAGAACAAUAGAUUUGUUGUCACACCAAGUUUUUCAGGAAUGGUCCAGGUGUAGAAGACCACCAAGUAUGCAUGAUGUGAUUGUCCUUUAGGUGCUGUCUAUACAUUGAAGGAUAGAGCCCUACUCUCCAGAUGUCUAGAGAAGUAAAGAAAUGACAUCAGAAUCAGAUACAGCCAUUGGCUGACAUAUUGAGCACAUGAAUUAAAACAAAAGUGUAAGCUUUUGUCCCCAAGUGUGGCAUACUCCAUUCUAAGGAUGUUCAUUCUCUUACGAGGGUAUUAUUACUCUCAUAUAUGCCAGAGUGCGACCAGUUGGUGAAAACAGGUCCUCCCCAAGUUGCAUUCCCAGACUCGAAGUCGAGGAAUCCCAGAAUAAGGUUGACUGAUGCUCAGUUCUUCCGUAAACGUGGGGCUCACAGCUGAAGUGGAUCAACUAUAACAGCUUAUUACUUUGUCUUUGAGCAAGUUUUAAUGACGGAAGCUGAAGUUGAGUAAACAUUGAGUGAAGUUCAGAUUUGUGACUUCCUCAUCUAUAUGUUGGACUUGGACCUAGUCACCUAAAGCUAAGACCACGGAUGUGACGAAAGGUGCUCGCCACGCUGAUUCGUGGUUAUAUUACUGCCAUCACUGUCCACGAAGUGCAAUCUUUUGGCACGCAAUUCUGUGAGUCCGUUUCCCUAUGGCUUAGAGUUCGAAAUCUGCACACAUCCCUGCAAAAUUUCUGUCGUCGUUUCUGAAUGCCAUAAUUUUCCCCAAUUGUUCUACGAAGAAUCUUGUCUCAGACUGUUCCAUUAGGUAAGGGAGUCACUGCUGGAUGUUCAAGCCUGCAGUUCGUACAAACUACACAAACGCCCGACUGCCUCUGCCUUUGGAAAGUUUUUAGGGGAUUAGUUUUGAUGAAUUUUGUGAUUCUAAGAAUCAUUGAGUUUGGAUGAAUGGAACACCUUUGAACCAAACGGAAUUUAUUGUGAAUAUCAAAUUUGUUUCCAUUAAGGUGGUGUUCAGUAUCGUGGAAUGACACGAGAUACUUAGGA
Molecule: RNA transcript, 5873 nt
Organism: Nelumbo nucifera (sacred lotus)
Lineage: Eukaryota; Viridiplantae; Streptophyta; Magnoliopsida; Proteales; Nelumbonaceae
Source: RefSeq, a predicted model, not a curated record